GAUGAACGCUGGCGGCGCGCCUAACACAUGCAAGUCGAACGGCACCCACCCUCGGGUGGAAGCGAGUGGCGAACGGCUGAGUAACACGUGACCAACCUGCCCUGCGCUUCGGGAUAGCCGCGGGAAACCGCGGGCAAUACCGGAUGGCCCCGGGCCGCCCCAUGGCGGCGCGGGCAAAGCUCCGGCGGCGCGGGAUGGGGUCGCGGCCCAUCAGGUAGACGGCGGGCGACGGCCCACCGUGCCGAUGACGGGUAGCCGGGUUGAGAGACCGAACGGCCAGAUUGGGACUGAGACACGGCCCAGACUCCUACGGGAGGCAGCAGUGGGGAAUCUUGCGCAAUGGGGGGAACCCUGACGCAGCGACGCCGCGUGCGGGAGGAAGGCCUUCGGGUCGCAGACCGCUUUCAGCAGGGAAGAGAUCAGACGGUACCUGCAGAAGAAGCCCCGGCUAACUACGUGCCAGCAGCCGCGGUAAUACGUAGGGGGCAAGCGUUAUCCGGAUUCAUUGGGCGUAAAGCGCGCGCAGGCGGCCAGGCAGGCCGGGCCGCCCGGCUCGGGUCCGGUAGGGGAGGGU
Molecule: ribosomal RNA, 574 nt
Filed under: uncultured Coriobacterium sp.
Lineage: Bacteria; Bacillati; Actinomycetota; Coriobacteriia; Coriobacteriales; Coriobacteriaceae
Description: SSU rRNA
Rfam family: Bacterial small subunit ribosomal RNA
Source: RNAcentral